RNAcentral lists this transfer RNA (72 nucleotides) under Dallia pectoralis (Alaska blackfish). RNAcentral's name for it is "tRNA-Thr". It matches the Rfam family "tRNA". Rfam says of the family: Transfer RNA (tRNA) molecules are approximately 80 nucleotides in length. Their secondary structure includes four short double-helical elements and three loops (D, anti-codon, and T loops). The record is from RNAcentral. Lineage: Eukaryota; Metazoa; Chordata; Actinopteri; Esociformes; Umbridae.
GUUGGUGUAGCUCAGUGGUAGAGUGCAUGCUUUGUAUGUAUGAUGACCUGGGUUCAAUCUCAAGCUUCUCUC